Molecule: ribosomal RNA, 392 nt
Filed under: uncultured bacterium
Lineage: Bacteria
Description: partial 16S ribosomal RNA
Rfam family: Bacterial small subunit ribosomal RNA
Source: RNAcentral
AUACGGAGGAUGCGAGCGUUAUCCGGAUUUAUUGGGUUUAAAGGGUGCGCAGGCGGCCAUUUAAGUCAGCGGUUAAAUCGUGGGGCUCAACCCCAUUCUGCCGUUGAUACUGGGUGGCUUGAUUGCGGUCGAGGUUGGCGGAAUUCGUUGUGUAGCGGUGAAAUGCAUAGAUAUGACGAAGAACACCGAUUGCGUAGGCAGCUGACCAGACCGCAAAUGACGCUCAUGCACGAAAGUGCGGGGAUCGAACAGGAUUAGAUACCCUGGUAGUCCGCACAGUAAACGAUGAGUACUUGUUUUCGGCGAUAUAAUGUCGGAGGCAAAGCGAAAGCGAUAAGUAUUCCACCUGGGGAGUACGCCGGCAACGGUGAAACUCAAAGGAAUUGACGGGG